UAAAGUGUUCAGCAGGCAGAUCCAAUUUUCUGCCACCGAAUACAUUAGCAUGGGAUAAUGGAAUAGGACCCUGUCCUCCUAUUUUCAGUUGGUUUGCCGCGAGGACCAGGGUAAUGAUUAAUAGGGAUAGUUGGGGGCAUUAAUAUUUAAUUGUCAGAGGUGAAAUUCUUGGAUUUAUGAAAGAUUAACUUCUGCGAAAGCAUCUGCCAAGGAUGUUUUCAUUAAUCAAGAACGAAAGUUAGGGGAUCGAAGACGAUCAGAUACCGCCGUAGUCUUAACCAUAAACGAUGCCGACCAGCGAUUAGGAGACGUUGAAUACAAAACACCACCAUGCGAUUUGCGUUCUCUUUUGGGGGUGCUUAACAAGGGGGGGUCAUGCGGAUUGCUUCGCUUGGAAGCGACCAAUGAAUCCCCCCCCAACCAGCUUGAGAAAAAAAAUU
This 440-nucleotide ribosomal RNA is filed under the name Acanthamoeba griffini. RNAcentral describes it as "partial 18S ribosomal RNA". The stretch from base 1 to 383 matches the Rfam family "Eukaryotic small subunit ribosomal RNA", at positions 767 to 1113 of the family's 1831-position model. Lineage: Eukaryota; Discosea; Longamoebia; Acanthamoebidae. RNAcentral also lists the same sequence under 1 other name. The record is from RNAcentral.